Peromyscus eremicus (cactus mouse) is the source of this 749-nucleotide long non-coding RNA. RefSeq lists it as uncharacterized. NCBI's taxonomy places the organism in Eukaryota, Metazoa, Chordata, Mammalia, Rodentia, Cricetidae. The transcript has 2 exons. The record is from RefSeq and is a predicted model, not a curated record.
CUGUUCUACACCAGGUGGCUAAUUAUAGUUUUCCUUGGUUAUAAUAAAAGGCGUUCCCUUCCCCUCGAAGAGUCUGGAUGGGAGCAAGCACGACAUCACUGAAUAAGCUAAUCCUGACCAUAGGAUGCAAGAGGAGCUUCCAUUACCGCCCCAUCACACAAACCACGGGCUUAAACAGAGCAAAACAGCGAUUUGAAUAGCAAGCACUUAAAAAGCAUCCCUUGUUCUCCACCUCCACAUCCAACAGCCCUCCCCAGAGCAGACACGGCAUUCUGAGAGGAAUGGAAAUAUCCCUCCUAAGCACACGAAGCACAACAAAAGCCAAGUUAAGAAGGUUAGCGACUUAGUUGUCUCAGCAACAUGCCAUCAAGUUGAGAUGAGUAGGGAACUCUGAUAACAGGAGGGAGAGGGAAACAUCAAAAGCCACAAAGAGGAACAAGCCGGGGUGCCUAACAGAGCAAAGCCCCUUUCUCUCGCUGUUUCAUUAAGAGAAACUUAACUUUUAAACAGCACUCCAGAAAGCCGCGGCGGAAUCUGCUUCAGUGUAACCUGCGUCCUCGGCGUGUGUUAAGAAAUUGUGUUAUCAGCAUUUCCUGUGUGGCACCCUGUUCAAAAGCAAAACUGUUAGGGAUGUCCGUAUAAUUCCACGGAGAAACAAAAAUAGCGUCAUGUUAAAAUGGGACCUGAUGUUUCAAAAACAUUCUUAUCGGAAAUUAGUGGCAAGGGAUAAAUACAUUGAAAUGACCAGA